UAUGGGUGAAUAUCUUUGGACCUUCCCUGUACUUGGUAAGUUGUUGGUCCAUAGGGAUUCAGAACGCAUUGAUUAAACAUAACCUGCUUAGUUCUAGGAAUUGCUACGCAUUUAGCAAAGAGUGGCCCAAGUAUUUAUGGGCCAUGAUCCAGGGCCACAUGAAAUCAGUCUUAGGUUAUCUUCCUUUUUUUUUUUCUUUUAUCCCCACGCUGCCCCUUCUUUUCAAAGGUAGAUUGGUCUUUAACUCUUUGGUGCUGCUCAGCAAACUGAAUGGUUUCCUAAAGAUAAUGAGAGCUUAAGAAAGGGAGGAUGUGUGAGUCAAAGAUUUAUAACAACAAUACUACCUGCAUGACAUGAGUAGGAGUUUACCAUAUAAGAACCUUACCUCUAUAAGGCUUUUAUUACAGAAAUCUCUUUUGAUUUUUUUCCUUUAUAUAACAUGCAUUGCCUGUGUCCUGCUUUCACGAGAAGUAUACAAUCAGGAAUAGAAGGUGAUUGCUGUGAGAUUCAUGGCAUGCUACUGCAUUUUCUUCUAAAUUAAUUUAAUCAUUAUUUUUAAUAAGAAAUAACUUAUAGUGGAUGCUGGAAUCAUCGAAAGCAAGAAAAGACUUCAAAUAACCUUUAGCAACUUGUUGUCAGUUAUAUUAUUUUUCUUCUCCUUCGGUGAAUUUUUUAUAUUUUGUUUCUUUUUUGGUGAGAGGUGAGUAAUUGUGUAUUCGUAUUGAUGUCUGAAAUGAAGCCUGGUUGGAAAGCCGAGGAGUUGUUAUUGUCCAGCACCCGCUGCAAUGAAUUUGAAAGAGUUCUGUCAAAUUUGAACUUGCCUGAUGCAUCACGGUUCCAAGUUCUGAUGAUCACAAAGGUUUUUCAGUCAUCAACAAUGAAGGCUCAUUUUGCAGAAAAUGCUGUCUGAAUUUGAUUUGUUCCUACGAUUACUUCACAAUGAGUGCGAUUUGUACCAUUGCUGAGGUUUUAUUCAUUGGCACAAGACCAGAGAGACCCACCACAUUAACAUCAACAAGUAAAAAUUGGAGGAAGUGCUCGUGUUCUUUUCCUUUUCCUUUCUAACUGUGUUGCUAUUUUCUUUACCUGUUCAUUGAUUUCACGUGCAAUUGGAAUCUCUUCUUUAUUUGCA
Chenopodium quinoa (quinoa) is the source of this 1132-nucleotide long non-coding RNA. RefSeq lists it as uncharacterized. NCBI's taxonomy places the organism in Eukaryota, Viridiplantae, Streptophyta, Magnoliopsida, Caryophyllales, Amaranthaceae. The transcript is spliced from 2 exons. The record is from RefSeq and is a predicted model, not a curated record.